GUAGGUGGCGAGCGUUGUCCGGAUUUAUUGGGUUUAAAGGGUGCGUAGGCGGCCCUGUAAGUCAGUGCUGAAAUAUUCCAGCUUAACUGGGAGGGUGGCAUUGAUACUGCGGGGCUAGAGUACAGAUGAGGUAGGCGGAAUUGACGGUGUAGCGGUGAAAUGCUUAGAUAUCGUCAAGAACACCUAUAGCGAAGGCAGCUUACUAGGCUGUAACUGACGCUGAGGCACGAAAGUGUGGGGAUCAAACAGGAUUAGAUACCCUGGUAGUCCACACUGUAAACGUUGAUUACUCGCUGUGUGCGAUAUACAGUACGCGGCCAAGCGAAAGCGCUAAGUAAUCCACCUGGGGAGUACGCCGGCAACGGUGAA
This 369-nucleotide ribosomal RNA is filed under the name uncultured bacterium. RNAcentral's name for it is "bacterial SSU rRNA". It matches the Rfam family "Bacterial small subunit ribosomal RNA", at positions 527 to 898 of the family's 1533-position model. The record is from RNAcentral.